Molecule: ribosomal RNA, 253 nt
Filed under: uncultured bacterium
Lineage: Bacteria
Description: partial 16S ribosomal RNA
Rfam family: Bacterial small subunit ribosomal RNA
Source: RNAcentral
UACGGAGGGUGCGAGCGUUAAUCGGAAUUACUGGGCGUAAAGCGCGCGUAGGUGGUGCGUUAAGCCAGCUGUGAAAGCCCUGGGCUCAACCUGGGAAUGGCAGGUGGGACUGGCGUGCUGGAGUGAGAUAGAGGACCGUGGAAUUCCCGGUGUAGCGGUGAAAUGCGUAGAGAUCGGGAAGAACACCGAUGGCGAAGGCAGCGGUCUGGGUCUACACUGACGCUGAGGUGCGAAGGCGUGGGGAGCAAACAGG